UACGUAGGUCCCGAACGUUGCGCGAAUUUACUGGGCGUAAAGGGUCCGUAGGCGGUUUAGCAAGUGGUUGGUGAAAUUUCACGGCUCAACCGUGAAACUGCCUUCCAAACUGCUAAACUUGAGGCAGGGAGAGGUCGGCGGAAUUCCCGGUGUAGCGGUUAAAUGCGUAGGUAUCCGGAGGAAACCCAGUGGCGAGGGCGGCCGACUGGAACUGUCCUGACGCUGAGGGACGAAAGCUAGGGGAGCAAACCGG
RNAcentral lists this ribosomal RNA (253 nucleotides) under uncultured bacterium. RNAcentral describes it as "partial 16S ribosomal RNA". It matches the Rfam family "Bacterial small subunit ribosomal RNA", at positions 524 to 776 of the family's 1533-position model. The record is from RNAcentral.